AUGAACGCUGGCGGUAGGCCUAACACAUGCAAGUCGAACGGCAGCACAGUAAGAGCUUGCUCUUAUGGGUGGCGAGUGGCGGACGGGUGAGGAAUACAUCGGAAUCUACCUUUUCGUGGGGGAUAACGUAGGGAAACUUACGCUAAUACCGCAUACGACCUUCGGGUGAAAGCAGGGGACCUUCGGGCCUUGCGCGGAUAGAUGAGCCGAUGUCGGAUUAGCUAGUUGGCGGGGUAAAGGCCCACCAAGGCGACGAUCCGUAGCUGGUCUGAGAGGAUGAUCAGCCACACUGGAACUGAGACACGGUCCAGACUCCUACGGGAGGCAGCAGUGGGGAAUAUUGGACAAUGGGCGCAAGCCUGAUCCAGCCAUACCGCGUGGGUGAAGAAGGCCUUCGGGUUGUAAAGCCCUUUUGUUGGGAAAGAAAAGCAGCCGGCUAAUACCCGGUUGUUCUGACGGUACCCAAAGAAUAAGCACCGGCUAACUUCGUGCCAGCAGCCGCGGUAAUACGAAGGGUGCAAGCGUUACUCGGAAUUACUGGGCGUAAAGCGUGCGUAGGUGGUUGUUUAAGUCUGUUGUGAAAGCCCUGGG
This 591-nucleotide ribosomal RNA is filed under the name Stenotrophomonas sp. E39. RNAcentral describes it as "bacterial SSU rRNA". It matches the Rfam family "Bacterial small subunit ribosomal RNA", at positions 29 to 607 of the family's 1533-position model. Lineage: Bacteria; Pseudomonadati; Pseudomonadota; Gammaproteobacteria; Lysobacterales; Lysobacteraceae. The record is from RNAcentral.